GCCGAGGUCGCAUAACCUGGUAUUGCGUUAGCCUGCUAAGCUAAUUUCCUUCGGGAUCUCUGGGUUCAAAACGUACCGCAAGCUGCUGCUUCGGCAGUGGUUUGCGGAGUGAUAGUCCCAGCCUCGGCG
RNAcentral lists this transfer RNA (129 nucleotides) under Candidatus Woesearchaeota archaeon. RNAcentral describes it as "tRNA-Ser". It matches the Rfam family "tRNA". From Rfam's summary of the family: Transfer RNA (tRNA) molecules are approximately 80 nucleotides in length. Their secondary structure includes four short double-helical elements and three loops (D, anti-codon, and T loops). Lineage: Archaea; Nanobdellati; Candidatus Woesearchaeota. The record is from RNAcentral.